CCUUACACAUGCAAGUCGAACGGCAGCACGGGUACUUGGUACCUGGUGGCGAGUGGCGAACCGGGUGAGUAAUACAUCGGAACGUACCUUAUCGUGGGGGAUAACGCAGCGAAAGCUGUGCUAAUACCGCAUACGCCCUGAGGGGAAAGCGGGGGAUCGAAAGACCUCGCGCGAUUAGAGCGGCCGAUGCCUGAUUAGCUUGUUGGUGGGGUAAAAGCCCACCAAGGCGACGAUCAGUAGCUGGUCUGAGAGGACGAUCAGCCACACUGGGACUGAGACACGGCCCCAGACUCCUACGGGAGGCAGCAGUGGGGAAUUUUGGACAAUGGGGGCAACCCUGAUCCAGCAAUGCCGCGUGAGUGAAGAAGGCCUUCGGGUUGUAAAGCUCUUUUGUCAGGGAAGAAACACCGGCUCUAACACAGUCCGGGAAUGACGGUACCUGAAGAAUAAGCACCGGCUAACUACGUG
This 468-nucleotide ribosomal RNA is filed under the name uncultured bacterium. Its description in RNAcentral is "bacterial SSU rRNA". It matches the Rfam family "Bacterial small subunit ribosomal RNA", at positions 47 to 507 of the family's 1533-position model. The record is from RNAcentral.